Danio aesculapii is the source of this 307-nucleotide long non-coding RNA. RefSeq lists it as uncharacterized. The transcript is spliced from 3 exons. NCBI's taxonomy places the organism in Eukaryota, Metazoa, Chordata, Actinopteri, Cypriniformes, Danionidae. The record is from RefSeq and is a predicted model, not a curated record.
UAGGCUUUCCCAGAAGGCACUCAGCAGAGGUGAGUUGGCUCAGGUUACGGCAAACAUUGUCACAAUCACAAGAAAAACUCCUGACAAGAACUACAGCUCUUCAUUCUGUCCCGAACUCCUCUUAUCUGUCCCGACCCUGCUAUAACCGUGGCUGGAGAUAGAGAUAUGUGACCCCUUCCUCUUAAAGUCCACUGACAUUGGAUCUAAGCAGACAGCAGAUCGAGUUGGUUUGUUGAAAUGAAUGCAGUCCAGUCAAACUCUGUCGUUCAAGUUGGUGCUGGAAAAGUUUGCUCCAGGGCUGAGUUUU